UACGUAGGGGGCAAGCGUUGUCCGGAUUUAUUGGGCGUAAAGAGCGUGUAGGCGGCCAUACAGGUCAGCUGUGAAAACUCGAGGCUCAACCUCGAGACGUCGGUUGAAACCGUAUGGCUAGAGUCCGGAAGAGGAGAGUGGAAUUCCCGGUGUAGCGGUGAAAUGCGCAGAUAUCAGGAGGAACGCCGGUGGCGAAGGCGAGUCUCUGGGCCGUUACUGACGCUGAUGCACGAAAGCUGGGGGAGCAAACAGG
This 253-nucleotide ribosomal RNA is filed under the name uncultured bacterium. Its description in RNAcentral is "partial 16S ribosomal RNA". It matches the Rfam family "Bacterial small subunit ribosomal RNA", at positions 524 to 776 of the family's 1533-position model. The record is from RNAcentral.